RNAcentral lists this unclassified non-coding RNA (212 nucleotides) under soil metagenome. Its description in RNAcentral is "partial contains 5.8S ribosomal RNA, internal transcribed spacer 2, and large subunit ribosomal RNA". The record is from RNAcentral.
AACAAGGCGUACCUGCGGACCUGCGGAAGGAUCAUUACAAGUGACCCCGGUCUAACCACCGGGAUGUUCAUAACCCUUUGUUGUCCGACUCUGUUGCCUCCGGGGCGACCCUGCCUUCGGGCGGGGGCUCCGGGUGGACACUUCAAACUCUUGCGUAACUUUGCAGUCUGAGUAAACUUAAUUAAUAAAUUAAAACUUUCAACAAUGGAUCU